GAACGUUUUGGAAUACGGAACACAAGAAGACUUCCUCAGGCACUGCCUGUCUGGACCACAGUGUAGGACGCGCGAAUCUGCAGCUAGGGGGAUUCUGUGAUCACAAAGAACCCGGUGCUCAGAUUGCCUGUAUCUGGAGGGAACUCACCUGAAGGAAAAGCAACCGUGCUUUCCACAGACUCCAAAUCAUCCUCACGCUCGCCGAAAGCAGGGCGACUUUCCCCAUAGAAACAGAAGGCCCAGAGCAGGUGGCACAGCCUGAGGGGGACUGAGGCCUGCAAAGUGACUCAGAAAAAGAACUGGUGUGAACCCUGCUAGAUCUGUAGCGCUGGUGGUGCGGGGGGGGAAACGGGAGAGGAGGAAAGAUGUGGUGAGUGGAAGAAGAGGAAACCCUUCCUGGAACAGAUCCCCAGGGUACAAGCCCAGCUGCCUGCGGUUUGCCCGCCCGUGGAAUCAGAUCAAUUGCUUCACCGCCGGCUUCCCUCUCCCUCCCCCUCCUCUCUGAGGAUUGAACCCACAGGGCUCUGCAUUUCUCUUCUUAAGAAGUAGAAAAUCUCAGCUCUUUCAGGAUCAAUCAUGGAGCUUUCCAAGGGCAUAUUUUUCAGCACUGAGGGAAGUCGUCCCAGAGUAUUUCAUUUCCAGGUUCUGGAUUCUCGAGAUGAGAGGGAGGCAUUUCCAUUAUCUCUGUUGGGCUCCUCAAGAGAGUUGCAUGUUCUGAUGCUUGAAGGUGACGUAACCAGCUUCUGGUGACACUCAGGCCUGGCACUGCCAACCGUGUGAACUACAGCCUUCUCCUUAUUAACCACGAUCAUCACUGACUGCUCAAGGAAGAGCCUGGGGUUUGACUCCCCAAGGGGACACUGUGACUACCAGCACAGAGCUGCCUGCCCAGCUGGGCUGCUGACUGAUGGGAAGAGGGGGCUGCAGCCUGGGAAGGUCAAGGGGGAGAAAAAGCCCAGCUCUCACCUGGAUGGACACAGGCUUUCUGUCAGGCCUCCUACUUUGCAUGUUUUUCCUCUUUCCCUGCACGGUUAGGACUCCAGCAGGAGACUGAAAGAAGAACUGGCAGGGAUCGAACUCAGGACCUUGCACUUGCAAGGCAGACAACAGCACCACUGAGCUACACAACAUUCAUAUUUUGUCAGACACGACUGUGGACUGGUCUUUCUUUUGCCUACAUCAGGAAUGGUAGCAGAAUGGCCUUAUGUGAUAUUGAUGUUCUGUGAAAUCAUCUAUGGUCCAUCAAGUUUCAGGCCAGCUUUUAGAUUUCAGCAACUGCAUUUUUCUCAAUAGUUUCUCCUGAAAUUUUUAGGGGGUUUGUACAUAUUAAGCAUAUUUACUUUUUCCCCACAGUGCUGCCAGCAUUUGUUAUUGGUUGAUUUCUUGAGAGCACCCAUUCUUUCUG
RNAcentral lists this long non-coding RNA (1405 nucleotides) under Heterocephalus glaber (naked mole-rat). RNAcentral's name for it is "lncRNA (ENSHGLG00000047927.1)". Lineage: Eukaryota; Metazoa; Chordata; Mammalia; Rodentia; Bathyergidae. The record is from RNAcentral.